This 550-nucleotide ribosomal RNA is filed under the name uncultured bacterium. RNAcentral's name for it is "bacterial SSU rRNA". It matches the Rfam family "Bacterial small subunit ribosomal RNA", at positions 355 to 896 of the family's 1533-position model. The record is from RNAcentral.
UAGGGAAUCUUCGGCAAUGGGGGCAACCCUGACCGAGCAACGCCGCGUGAGUGAAGAAGGUUUUCGGAUCGUAAAGCUCUGUUGUAAGUCAAGAACGAGUGUGAGAGUGGAAAGUUCACACUGUGACGGUAGCUUACCAGAAAGGGACGGCUAACUACGUGCCAGCAGCCGCGGUAGUACGUAGGUCCCGAGCGUUGUCCGGAUUUAUUGGGCGUAAAGCGAGCGCAGGCGGUUUGAUAAGUCUGAAGUUAAAGGCUGUGGCUCAACCAUAGUUCGCUUUGGAAACUGUCAAACUUGAGUGCAGAAGGGGAGAGUGGAAUUCCAUGUGUAGCGGUGAAAUGCGUAGAUAUAUGGAGGAACACCGGUGGCGAAAGCGGCUCUCUGGUCUGUAACUGACGCUGAGGCUCGAAAGCGUGGGGAGCGAACAGGAUUAGAUACCCUGGUAGUCCACGCCGUAAACGAUGAGUGCUAGGUGUUGGAUCCUUUCCGGGAUUCAGUGCCGCAGCUAACGCAUUAAGCACUCCGCCUGGGGAGUACGACCGCAAGGUUG